UUUUGGACAAUGGGCGAAAGCCUGAUCCAGCCAUUCCGCGUGAGUGAAGAAGGCCUUCGGGUUGUAAAGCUCUUUCGCACCCCCCCCAAAACUUAGGCGCUAAUAUCGCUUGAGGUUGACGGUACCUUGAUAAGAAGCACCGGCUAACUACGUGCCAGCAGCCGCGGUAAUACGUAGGGUGCGAGCGUUAAUCGGAAUUACUGGGCGUAAAGCGUGCGCAGGCGGUUUUGUAAGUCAGAUGUGAAAUCCCCGAGCUCAACUUGGGAACUGGGUUUGAAACUAUAAGACUAGAAUAUGUCAGAGGGGGGUAGAAUUCCACGUGUAGCAGUGAAAUGCGUAGAGAUGGGAGGAAUACCAAUGGCGAAGGCAGCCCCCUGGGAUAAUAUUGACGCUCAUGCACGAAA
RNAcentral lists this ribosomal RNA (404 nucleotides) under uncultured bacterium. Its description in RNAcentral is "bacterial SSU rRNA". It matches the Rfam family "Bacterial small subunit ribosomal RNA", at positions 362 to 758 of the family's 1533-position model. The record is from RNAcentral.